UUUUGUAGCUGGAACCUAUUAUUAAACAGUAAUUUUGUUGUCUUUACAAGACAUUGAAAGGUGGAAGUUAGAAAUAUCUUAUAAAUAUUCCAUAUAUGGCCUGGUUUUUUAUGGUCAUAUCCUCUUCCUCUGCUCAGAAUUUUUUUCCAGGAUCACUCAAGGAUGUAACUGCAGAUGCGCAGCAGCUCUCCCCAACCGUGCCUCUAGCAGUCUCAGAUUUGCCACCUAUGUCCACAUUGAGAAUGAAUCAAAUUCUUUGAGAAAGAAUUACACAUAUUCCUGAAAACUGAUGUGUGCAGGGAGCACAAUAGCUGGAUGGGGAUGGCAGAGAUUGCAGAUAAUAUGCUUACAAAUCAUUAGCAGGACAAUGCAGUAGAGUGCUUUGAAGUUUCCCGCAAAGAAUUCAACAUCCCUGAGUUAACCAAGAUUCAUGCAGGUAGAAGGCAUAAUGUCCAACCUGGCUUCCAAAGUUUCUCACCUGAUUUGUGCUCUUUGGUGGAGUCUCAGCAGUUACAGCAGAGUGCAAAAGUCUUGUAAAGAGGCAGCAUCGGCACAAAGGUCAGCUGGUGGUCAGCAUCACGCUUCACUUGUGCAUCAGUACAGAGCUUAAUGCUUCAGAGACUGAACUUCUGUGCCCUAAGGAGCAUUCUUAUGAUCUACCUGUGUUAUUAGGUUUCAUAUAUGGAUUUUAUUUUUCUCUAAAGACUACGUUAACUGGAAUAAGCAAGUUGCAUGCCUGAUCACAUAAGAAGAGGAAAGGAAGAUGUCACCAUACUGGAAAACCUCACCUGACUUUUCUUGAUGAGUAUGGAAUGAAUGUGCUGGAGCAGCAAAUGCAAUGGCAGCUAACAGCGUGGAGUGUGUGCAUCUGCCAGAUGGUGAAAACAUCAAAGAUCAGAAUGGAGAACAUGAGCUCCACUCUCCAUCUUGAAAGAGAACAGCAGCACUAGUGCAGGUAUUGUCCACUAUUCAACACCAGCAGGUGUGGUCACCAUUACAUUUGGCAGAAAUGAAGUAAGAGGAGGUC
Molecule: long non-coding RNA, 1027 nt
Organism: Pezoporus occidentalis (night parrot)
Lineage: Eukaryota; Metazoa; Chordata; Aves; Psittaciformes; Psittacidae
Exons: 7
Source: RefSeq, a predicted model, not a curated record